CAACCCUCAGGCCCUGCCUGGUGUUGGAGGACUGCGCAUGCAGCCUCCCAAAGACAGCGGCGGCGGCGCCCCAAAACCGAACGCAGUAGUUACUUCUCGUUCUGGGUCUGGGUCGUUGUCCUGCCGGAAAACCCCCAUCUUUUACAU
This 147-nucleotide unclassified non-coding RNA is filed under the name Chaetosphaeria sp. RNAcentral describes it as "partial internal transcribed spacer 2". The record is from RNAcentral. Lineage: Eukaryota; Fungi; Ascomycota; Sordariomycetes; Chaetosphaeriales; Chaetosphaeriaceae. RNAcentral also lists the same sequence under 1 other name.